GUAAUUUGAAAAUGAAAGCAGUGGAUUCUUUACCACACCACACUGCCAAAGAAGCCCACAAAUGCCCCCAGAACCCCACAAAAGCCACUGCCUUUCCCUGAUUAAACGUAGCCUAACAUCCAUCACGCUGGCUGAUGCCUCAGAAGGCUCACCCUCCCAGCCAGAUGUAUAGUGGAGCCUGAAAGCCUGAAUCCACUGCUCCAGGGCCCUGGGGGGGCAUACAUGGCUGAGUUGUAUGGGGAGGCCCUGAAGCCCGCGAUGGUGGGUAUGGACCCUUGACCUUCAUGCUCUGGGACUUCGGUCGUCCCGGGCACCUUCCCCUAGGGAUCAGACACUGACACAGAGGGAAACAGGCCUCUGCCUGCCGGUUCCAAGGGUACUGCUCCUCAGUCAGCAUAAAGAUGCAUCAUUUUUAAAACGUCUUCAUGGUUCAGAAGAAACAGAGAGGAACAGAGGGCUGUCGCUUCAUGGGUACAGGUUCUGACGUUAUGGGACACGUCAGGAAAUGGAUGGUGAUGAUGCUGUGCCUCUACGUGAAUGUCCUUCGUGCCACUGAACUGUACCCUCCAAAGGGGGCAAAGUGGUAGAUUUCAUGUUUUGUAUGUUUCACCACGGUUUUAAAAAUACAUUCAAAUACAAAUAAAAAAGUAAAGGGUGCUUAAAAGAGGUAAA
RNAcentral lists this long non-coding RNA (672 nucleotides) under Bos taurus (domestic cattle). Its description in RNAcentral is "long non-coding RNA NONBTAT020378". Lineage: Eukaryota; Metazoa; Chordata; Mammalia; Artiodactyla; Bovidae. The record is from RNAcentral.